UGGGAACCUCCCUAUGCCGGGACUAUGGUCCUAAAAAGCAAUAAAUAAAGAAAUAAAUAGCACUAAGGACAGUCACACAAAGCUAGGCCUUCUCAGCGUCAGACGUGCCCAAGAGCUGAGCAGAUGUCAGCAACAGGACAGGGGAGGGGCAGGGCCUGAUGGCGUCAGUGCCGGAUUUUUACAGGGCGUGAAAAAAAUAAUGGUGCAGAAGGCAGCGGGCUGGCGCCUGGCCUGAGAAUCUUGGGAUUUAGAAGGACACGGAGCAGCUGCCCGGGACCAAGCCCUAGAGGAGACCGGGGUCUCAGCCGAGAGCAGUGGGAAAGUGGCGUCCCAGUCAGACCCAGAAGAAGAGCCAGGCCCUGCAUCCAGCAUCUCACCGACCCUCUUUGUAGUCCUCACAACAACCCAGAGAAGCGAGGGUCAUGGCCCCCAUUUUAGAGAAGAAAACACACGUUCUAAAGGGCCCCGCGAGCCAAAGCUGCCGAGCCAGCGAGAGGCAGCGUGAGGACUGACCCCAGCCUGACUCCCAGGCAGCGCCUGGGGGAUCCUCGAGCUCCCCGCUCUCCUCUCGAGCCCCAGGGGAGCCCUGGAUCCCAACCUGUUGGCCUCCUUCUGCCCAGGCCCCAGUGGGGCUUCUGCCCUGCAGCAGCCUGGCUUCUCAGCAGAGCCACGUGGGUCCCCAGGCCUGACGCGGAAGGCUGGGAUGCCAGUACUUGAGAGCACAGCAGGUGCACGUGACUUCCCAGAAGGACCAGCCUCUCCAGCCGCCGCAGGGCCGAGGCCCACGGUCACUCACACGUGGCCGAUGCCAGGCCUCCCGCGGCGGCUCUGGAGUCCACAGAGCGCUCCCCCUUUGGGCGGAGGCAGGGCGGGGCACACGUCCCCACUUCACAGACCAAGAGCAGAGCCCAAGGUCGCACCCCGUAACCCACCGACCUGGGUUACCCCUGACCCACAGCCUCAGGAAGAUGCGGGCCGCGGUCUGUCGAUGCUCAGACCUGAGCCAAGCCUUUGCUGCUUCCCAUCUGAGGUCAGGCUUUCACCUUAGGCCUGGACCCUCUCUGCACUCCGGAGACCCCAGGGACAGACCAGUGCUGCCAGGACGGCCUCAGACGGCAGGCCCGUCUGAGAUGGGCAUGAGCAGAGAGAAGCCGAAGGAAGGACGGGGGCAGCAGAGGAGGGCAGGCUGGGGCUGUCCUGAGCCGGCGCAUCGUGGCCGUCUGCCCAGGAGGCCCUCCUGGGUCCGGCGGUAGAUGUCACUUCUUCACCAGGUAGAGGAGGAAGAUGGGGCGCCGGCGAGGCUGCUCACAAGGUCGGGGGUAAGGGGCAGGGCACGGACUCAGAACCAGGCCCCCGCAUUCAGAAACCGGUUGGUCUUCUAUGGAAAGAGACUCUGGGCCUGUGUGCCAGCAGGAGUCCUCGAAGCUGGGUUGGGGUUGGGGGGUGCCCAGCAGACAUAUCCCCCAAUCCCGUCACAGCUUCAGCCAACUUAGGGAGACCCAGCUGCCAACUUCCCCCUUUUGUAGACGAGAACGUGACGUCCGGAGCCGGGAAGAGCUCGGCCCACAGCCAGGGCUAGGAUUCCUGUGCCCUCCCUCAGCAGGGCCACCUGCGCCACUCCGCCCAUGGCUCCUCUUCCCCGAGCCCCAGUUCACCUGCCCGGUUCUCCUGCCUGGCUCUGCCUUUUUAGGAAAGGAAAAGAGCAGCCCCAGUGGCGGGCAGGCGGGCGGGCAGGCGUCCAUGCUAAUCCACCAGCUCCCGGCAGCUCUGGUUACCGUGGUUUGGGGCCCGGGCAACCCUGGCUGGGAGUGCCAGCCCAGCCAAUGGGCGCUGCCGCGGAGCGCCUCUGCCAGAGCCAUACAAGGCUUUGCUUCGGCCCAGUCCCGAGCCAGCACAGGGCAGUCCCAGCACCAGCACCCGCCCCGCUCGAGAUCCUGCUAGCCCGGCACGUCCUCGGACUCUGCCUAAUCCAACCUGGGGGCAGGCAGGGCUGUGGUGCACGUGCACCAGGCCCAGGGCUCCCCAAGGUCAGGAAGGUAGCACUGCCAGGGCAGAGGCCAGAACCGGGGCAGAGACCUAGGCAGCAAAGGGGAUCCCAGCUGGAGGCAGGGGUGAUGGAGCCCAGGUCUGGUCCAGGCGAGCCGUCUCUCCAUUCUUUUCCAUUGUAGGUUACACAAGAUAUUGUGCAUAGCUCCCUCUGCUACACAUGGCUUGAUGUGGGAUCUCAGUUUUCCGACUGGGGAUUGAACCUGGGCGCAAGUUCAAUGAGAGAAAGUGCCGAGUCCUAAGUACCAGGCCAGCAGGGAAAUCCCUCUAUCAUUGUUUUAGAUUCCACGUAUGAGUGAUCUCAUAUGCCAUUUGUCUUUCUCUGUCUGACUUCACUUAGUGUGAUAAUCUCUAGGUCCUUCCUCUUGCUGCAAAUGUCAUUAUUUCAUUCUUUUUCGUGGCUGAGUAGUAUUCCAUUGUGUACAUAUAAACUGCAUCACCUUUAUCCAGUCAUCUCCUGAUGAACAAUUGCUUCCAUGUCUUAACUAUUGUAAAGGGGGUUGCUAUG
Sus scrofa (pig) is the source of this 2554-nucleotide long non-coding RNA. RefSeq lists it as uncharacterized. The record is from RefSeq and is a predicted model, not a curated record. Lineage: Eukaryota; Metazoa; Chordata; Mammalia; Artiodactyla; Suidae.